UACAGAGGGGGCAAGCGUUAUUCGGAAUUAUUGGGCGUAAAGGGCGCGUAGGCGGCCUGGCAAGUGGAAGGUGAAAUCCCUCGGCUUAACCGAGGAACUGCCCUCCAAACUGCUUGGCUUGAGUCCGGGAGAGGUGAGUGGAAUUCCCAGUGUAGCGGUGAAAUGCGUAGAUAUUGGGAGGAACACCAGUGGCGAAGGCGGCUCACUGGACCGGAACCGACGCUGAGGCGCGAAAGCGUGGGGAGCAAACGGG
RNAcentral lists this ribosomal RNA (253 nucleotides) under uncultured bacterium. Its description in RNAcentral is "partial 16S ribosomal RNA". It matches the Rfam family "Bacterial small subunit ribosomal RNA", at positions 524 to 776 of the family's 1533-position model. The record is from RNAcentral.